GAUGAGCGCUGGCGGCGUGCCUAAUACAUGCAAGUCGAGCGAACAGACGAGGAGCUUGCUCCUUUGACGUUAGCGGCGGACGGGUGAGUAACACGUGGAUAACCUACUUAUAUGACUGGGAUAAUCUCGGGAAACCGGAGCUAAUACCGGAGAAUAUACUGAACCGCAUGGUUCAAUAGUGAAAGUCGGCUUUGGUGUCACUUAUAGAUGCAUCUGCGCCGCAUUAGCUAGUUGGUAAGGUAACGGCCUAUCAAGGCUACGAUGCGUAGCCGAACUGAGGGACUGGUCGGCCACCCGGGAGCUGGAACACGGUCCAGGGUCCUGCGGGAGGCAGCAGUAGGGAAUCUUACGCAGUGGGCGGAAGCCUGACGGAGCAACGCCGAGUGAGUGAUGAAGGUCUUCGGAUCGUAAAACUCUGUUAUUGGGGAAGAACAGAUGUGUACGUAACUAUGGACGUCUUGACGGUACCUAAUCAGAAAGCCACGGCUAACUACGUG
RNAcentral lists this ribosomal RNA (497 nucleotides) under uncultured bacterium. RNAcentral's name for it is "partial 16S ribosomal RNA". It matches the Rfam family "Bacterial small subunit ribosomal RNA", at positions 28 to 507 of the family's 1533-position model. The record is from RNAcentral.